GAUGAACGCUGGCGGCGUGCCUAAUACAUGCAAGUCGAGCGAACAGACUAGGAGCUUGCUCCUCUGACGUUAGCGGCGGACGGGUGAGUAACACGUGGAUAACCUACCUAUAAGACUGGGAUAACUUCGGGAAACCGGAGCUAAUACCGGAUAAUAUAUUGAACCGCAUGGUUCAAUAGUGAAAGACGGUUUUGCUGUCACUUAUAGAUGGAUCCGCGCCGCAUUAGCUAGUUGGUAAGGUAACGGCUUACCAAGGCAACGAUGCGUAGCCGACCUGAGAGGGUGAUCGGCCACACUGGAACUUAGACACGGUCCAGACUCCUACGGGAGGCAGCAGUAGGGAAUCUUCCGCAAUGGGCGAAAGCUUGACGGAGCAACGCCGCGUGAGUGAUGAAGGUCUUCGGAUCGUAAAACUCUGUUAUUAGGGAAGAACAAAUGUGUAAGUAACUAUGCACGUCUUGACGGUACCUAAUCAGAAAGCCACGGCUAACUACGUG
Molecule: ribosomal RNA, 497 nt
Filed under: uncultured bacterium
Lineage: Bacteria
Description: partial 16S ribosomal RNA
Rfam family: Bacterial small subunit ribosomal RNA
Source: RNAcentral